GCUCAGAUUGAACGCUGGCGGCAGGCCUAACACAUGCAAGUCGAACGGUAACAGGAAGCAGCUUGCUGCUUCGCUGACGAGUGGCGGACGGGUGAGUAAUGUCUGGGAAACUGCCUGAUGGAGGGGGAUAACUACUGGAAACGGUAGCUAAUACCGCAUAACGUCGCAAGACCAAAGAGGGGGACCUUCGGGCCUCUUGCCAUCGGAUGUGCCCAGAUGGGAUUAGCUAGUAGGUGGGGUAAUGGCUCACCUAGGCGACGAUCCCUAGCUGGUCUGAGAGGAUGACCAGCCACACUGGAACUGAGACACGGUCCAGACUCCUACGGGAGGCAGCAGUA
RNAcentral lists this ribosomal RNA (338 nucleotides) under uncultured bacterium. RNAcentral's name for it is "bacterial SSU rRNA". It matches the Rfam family "Bacterial small subunit ribosomal RNA", at positions 22 to 356 of the family's 1533-position model. The record is from RNAcentral.